Molecule: ribosomal RNA, 477 nt
Filed under: Triticum aestivum (bread wheat)
Lineage: Eukaryota; Viridiplantae; Streptophyta; Magnoliopsida; Poales; Poaceae
Description: partial small subunit ribosomal RNA
Source: RNAcentral
AUGGCCAUGAUGGGCAUCAUAGCGCCGGAGACGGCGUACGAGACGGAGGCCGUGUCUCCGGCCACAGCCAGCGCCGCCGCGGGCGCGCCGCAGCGCAGGGGCUUGCUCCGGAGGAUGAUGCCGCGGGGGCACUACUCGCCCAUCGGCGCCGACCAGAAGACAGACCCUGGAAGGGCGCCCGAGGUGGCACCGAUCGCUGCCCGUGACUCGGAUGUCGCGGAGAAGCCGCGCCGCGGCUGGCUGCGGCGGCUGGUAACGCAGCGGCGGCGCUGGAAGAAUCUGGGCGGCGCCAGCGCGUCGAGGCUGGCCGGACUGUCGCGAUCGCUGCGGUGGAAGCGGCUGUCCGUGAACCUGAGGGGCAGCUGGGCGUCGGCGCUGCUGGACACCGUCGCGUUCCGCGUCAUGUACGUGGUGGAAGCCAUCGUGCUUGGCCUGGCGCUCUCCUGUUUCUUCUGCUGCUGCGGCUGCCAGAUAUAG